AUUGAACGCUGGCGGCAUGCUUUACACAUGCAAGUCGAACGGUAACAGGCCGCAAGGUGCUGACGAGUGGCGAACGGGUGAGUAAUGCAUCGGAACGUGCCCAGUCGUGGGGGAUAACUACUCGAAAGAGUAGCUAAUACCGCAUACGAUCUAUGGAUGAAAGCGGGGGACCGUAAGGCCUCGCGCGAUUGGAGCGGCCGAUGUCAGAUUAGGUAGUUGGUGGGGUAAAGGCUCACCAAGCCAACGAUCUGUAGCUGGUCUGAGAGGACGACCAGCCACACUGGGACUGAGACACGGCCCAGACUCCUACGGGAGGCAGCAGUGGGGAAUUUUGGACAAUGGGCGCAAGCCUGAUCCAGCAAUGCCGCGUGCAGGAAGAAGGCCUUCGGGUUGUAAACUGCUUUUGUACGGAACGAAACGGCUCUGGUUAAUACCCGGGGCUAAUGACGGUACCGUAAGAAAAAGCACCGGCUAACUACGUG
RNAcentral lists this ribosomal RNA (482 nucleotides) under uncultured bacterium. RNAcentral describes it as "partial 16S ribosomal RNA". It matches the Rfam family "Bacterial small subunit ribosomal RNA", at positions 30 to 507 of the family's 1533-position model. The record is from RNAcentral.